Molecule: unclassified non-coding RNA, 212 nt
Filed under: Spongia irregularis
Lineage: Eukaryota; Metazoa; Porifera; Demospongiae; Dictyoceratida; Spongiidae
Description: sequence contains 5.8S rRNA gene, ITS2, 28S rRNA gene
Source: RNAcentral
GAGCAGGUCUGUCCGAGCGUCUGCCACCUGAAAACGUUGUCGUCCACGGACGACAAGAGUGAGGAGAUGCACGCCCGGGUCGUGCUGCACUCCUUGAAGAGGCAUUGCGGACGGUGCACCGUGACCGGGUGAGACAAUCGUCGCCAUAAACGGUUGCGUCAUCUCGUCGGUGCCGGCCGCGGUCCCAAACACCGUUUGGACCUCGGAUCAGG